ACGUUUGUCGCGCUGCUUUCCUCUCUCAGGUAAUUUGUUCAAUCUCUUUUUCUUCUUCUUCCUCUCUCUCUCUCUCUCUUUCUACUACUGAUUUGGAAAGCUUUCUUCAAUUGAAACACUUCUAAGUUCUAAUCGAGGUCUUGAGACUAUUAACAGGUUUCUCUUUACUUCAAAUUCCUCUAUUUCCUUUAACUUCGAUGCUAGUAUACAAUAAUCAAUUUAAUUCUAUGUGAUUUUGUUUCGAUUGUUAAUUUACAUGCUUUCAUUGCUUGUGGAUCUGUUUUACUAUUGAUAUUUAUUAUGCUGCACUUGUGUAUUACUUGUUUCUCGUUGAUUGCAUAGCAAUUGAAAGCAAGCAGCUUUAUUUAUCUGUUUUGCGCAUUAUUGGCUAAGAACUGAGUUAUAUAAACACAUAUUCUAUCUCCAUGGUCAUAUAAUAACAAUUUCUUAUCAAGUAAUUUAUUAUUUAUAUGAAUUAUAGGACCUUUAGUUGUCUAAUAACCCUGAAUCCGUUGGUAUGCUUGAUUUUUUAGGGUAACUCUUAAGCCAAUUUUAUGUCUGUCACAUAUUUCUAAGACUUUCAUGGAUGCCAUGAAUUAGGGUUGUGUGUCUGUUGAUUAUGUCAAUUUGAUUUACUGGUAGCUGUUUUUUGUGGCUUUCAAUAUUUGCACCAGUAUAUAGAUUUUUUUUAGCUUACAUGUCGGGGGGGAAGUAUUUCAGUCUAUAUAUUACUUGUCUGUGAUUCAAUUCAUUUAUUUUCCACAUGCUUAUUUUGUUAUUGUUUAUUCCUUUGGGUUCUGGAAAAAAAAAAUUGUUUUGUUUUUGGUUUUAUCACUUUAUGUAAUGAUAACUAUGUUAAGUUUUUUUUUUUUUUUUUGGUCUUUCGCAUUCCUAGUUUAUUUUCACAGUGUUUUUGGAUUUCUAUGAGAAAUAUCUAUUAUUAUUUAUUGCUUUAUUGUUGUGCAUAUGUACGAUUGUUAUUGUCCUUUCGGGAACGCUAGAUAAAGGCUUGUGAAUAUGUCACACAUGUUGGGGAAUGAAUUAGAACAAGACCUGCAGGAAGUAAAGGCGCUUAAGAUAGAAUGAAGGUCUGUAAGUGGAAGGGAUCAUAGAUGUCCACUUACUUUAGACCUGGCAUAUGUAGCCUUACGAGUGGAGCCAAAAGAAAUAGUGGUGCUUGGACACUAGAUAACUACUUGAACGCCUUUGAAACCUGUAGGUUACAUGUUCUAGUGUCCCUAGUAAUGUGUUGACCGGCACAAGUGCCAUCUGUUAUCCCAAGGACAUGAGACGUCAGACUUUAUAGUACUUUGUUAUUGUUUAUUCCUUUGGGUUCUGGGAAAAAAAAUAUUGUUCUUGUUUUUGGUUUUAUCACUUUAUAUAAUGGUAACUAUGCUAAGGUUUUUUUUUUUUUUUUUUGGUCUUUCGCAUUCCUAGUUUAUUUUCACAGUGUUUUUGGAUUUCUAUGAGAAAUAUCUAUUAUUAUUUAUUGCUUUAUUGUUGUGCUUAUGUACGAUUGUUAUUGUCCUUUCGGGAACACUAGAUAAAGGCUUGUGAAUAUGUCACACAUGUUGGGGAAUGAAUUAGAACAAGACCUGCAGGAAGUAAAGGCGCUUAAGAUAGAAUGAAGGUCUGUAAGUGGAAGGGAUCAUAGAUCUCCACUUACUUUAGACCUGGCAUAUGUAGCCUUACGAAUGGAGCCAAAAGAAAUAGUGGUGCUUGGGCACUAGAUAACUACUUGAACGCCUUUGAAACCUGUAGGUUACAUAUUCUAGUGUCCCUAGUAAUGUGUUGACCGGCACAAGUGCCAUCUGUUAUCCCAAGGACAUGAGACAUCAUAUAAUAACAAUUUCUUAUGUAGUAAUUUGAUUAUUCUUUUGCUUUCAAUCCAUUUAUUUUAUAUGAAUUAUAGGACCUUUAGUUGUCUAAUAACCCUGAAUCCGUUGGUACGCUUGAUUUUUUGGGGUAACUCUUAAUCCAAAUUUAUGUCUGUCGCAUAUUUCUAAGACUUUCAUGGAUGCCAUGAAUUAGGGCUGUGUCUCUGUUGAUUAUGUCAAUUUGAUUUACUGGUAGCUGUUUUUUGUGGCUUUCAAUAUUUGUACCAGUGUAUUAAUUUUUUUUAGUACCAGUGUAUUAAUUUUUUUUAGCUUACAUGUCGGGGGAAGUAUUUCAGUCUGUAUAUUACUUGCCUGUGAUUGGAUUCAUUUAUUUUCAGCAUGCUUACUUUGUUUUCGUUUAUUCCUUUGGGUUCUGGAAAAAAAAAAAAAUUGUUCUUGUUUUUGGUUUUAUCACUUUAUGUAAAGCUAACUAUGCUAAGUUAUUUUUUUUUUUUUGGUCUUUCGCAUUCCUAGUUUAUUUUCAGUGUUUUUGGAGUUUUAUGAGGAAUAUCUAUUAUUAUUUAUUGCUUUUUUAUGGUGCGUAUGUACGACUGCUAUUGUCCUUUUGGGAACGCUAGAUAAAGGCUUGUCAAUACGUCACACACAUUUUUGGGGAAUGAAUUACAACAAGACCUGCAGGAAGAAAAGGCGCUGAAGAUAGAAUGAAGGUCCGUAAGUGGAAGGGAUCGUAGAUAUCCACUUAUUUUAGACCUGGCAUAGAUAGCUUGGGAAUGAAGCCAAAAGAAAUAGUGCUUGGGCACUAGAUAACUACUUAGCGCCUUAGAAACCUGUAGCUUACAUGUUGUAGCGUCCCUAAUGUGUCGACUGCUACCUGUCAUGCCACGUAAAAGAACAUGAUGUCAAACGUUAUAAUAAUUAUCUCUAUAAUAAAUACUUUUGUGUCUUCUUUUAUAAUUGAACACUUAUUCUUUGGUUACGGUUGAAUUUAUUUGCUUCAUACAUGCUUAAUUCAUUUUUUAUAGGAUAUACAUCGAUUUUGAUUAUUUUCUUAUUUGUGUUCUUAUUUUUCUUUUGCUAUCCUUAUCUUUGACUGUAAUUGUCCUUUCGGAUAAAGGCUUGCAGAAACAAAUGCACAAUCGCACACAUUGUUGGGGAAUGAAUUAGAACAAUAUCUGCAGAAAGAAAAAGGCGCUUAAGAUAGAAUGAAGGUCCGUAAGUGGAAGGGAUCAUAGAUAUCCACUUUUUUAGACCUGGCAUUGAUGGCUUGGGAAUGAAGCCAAGAGAAAUAGACAAAUAGUGCUUGGGCACUAGAUAACUACUUAGCGCCUUUGAAACCUGUAGCUUACAUGUUCUAGCGUCCCUAGUAAUGUGUGGACUGCUAUCUGUCAUGCCACGUAAAAGGACAUGAUGUCAUUCGUUAUAGUAAUUAUCCUUAUAAUAAAUACUUUUGUGUCUUGUUUUAUAAUUAAACACUUAUUCUUUGCAUACGAUUGACUUUAUUUGCUUCAUACAUGCUUAAUUCAUUUUUUAUAGGACAUACAUCGAUUUUGAUUAUUUUCUUAUUUGUGUUCCUAUUUUUCUUUUUCUAUCCUUAUCUCUGACUUUAAUUGUCCUUUUGGAUAAAGGCUUGCAGACACACGCACAGUCACAGACAUUGUUGGGGAAUGAAUUAGAACAAUACCUGCAGAAGUAAAAGGCACUGAUAGAAGGAAGGUUCGUAAGUGGAAGGGAUCAUAGAUAUCCGCUUUUUAAUGGAGCCUAGUGCAAGCACUAGAUAACUACAUCAGCGCCUUUGAAACCUGUAGGCCACAUGAUCUAGCUUCCUUAGUAAUGUGUUGACUGGGCCAAGUGCCAUCUGUUAUGCCACGUAAAAGGACAUGAGCCGUCAGACUUUAUAGUAAUUCUCACUUUAUAAAUAAUUUUCUCUGC
RNAcentral lists this long non-coding RNA (3767 nucleotides) under Aquilegia coerulea. Its description in RNAcentral is "long non-coding RNA (ACOE_LNC000828)". Lineage: Eukaryota; Viridiplantae; Streptophyta; Magnoliopsida; Ranunculales; Ranunculaceae. The record is from RNAcentral.